CGAGCGGGGGAAAGUAGCUUGCUACCUGAAUCCUAGCGGCGGACGGGUGAGUAAUGCUUAGGAAUCUGCCUAUUAGUGGGGGACAACCUUCCGAAAGGAAUGCUAAUACCGCAUACGUCCUACGGGAGAAAGCAGGGGACCUUCGGGCCUUGCGCUAAUAGAUGAGCCUAAGUCCGGAUUAGCUAGUUGGUGGGGUAAAGGCCUACCAAGGCGACGAUCUGUAGCGGGUCUGAGAGGAUGAUCCGCCACACUGGGACUGAGACACGGCCCAGACUCCUACGGGAGGCAGCAGUGGGGAAUAUUGGACAAUGGGGGGAACCCUGAUCCAGCCAUGCCGCGUGUGUGAAGAAGGCCUUAUGGUUGUAAAGCACUUUAAGCGAGGAGGAGGCUACUAGUAUUAAUACUACUGGAUAGUGGACGUUACUCGCAGAAUAAGCACCGGCUAACUCUGUGCCAGCAGCCGCGGUAAUACAGAGGGUGCGAGCGUUAAUCGGAUUUACUGGGCGUAAAGCGUGCGUAGGCGGCCAUUUAAGUCAAAUGUGAAAUCCCCGAGCUUUAACUUGGGAAUUGCAUUCGAUACUGGAAUGGCUAGAGUAUCCGGGAGAGGAUGGUAGAAUUCCAGGUGUAGCGGUGAAAUGCGUAGAGAUCUGGAGGAAUACCGAUGGCGAAGGCAGCCAUCUUGGCCUAAUACUGACGCUGAGGUACGAAAGCAUGGGGAGCAAACAGGAUUAGAUACCCUGGUAGUCCAUGCCGUAAACGAUGUCUACUAGCCGUUGGGGCCUUUGAGGCUUUAGUGGCGCAGCUAACCCGAUAAGUAGACCGCCUGGGGAGUACGGUCGCAAGACUAAAACUCAAAUGAAUUGACGGGGGCCCGCACAAGCGGUGGAGCAUGUGGUUUAAUUCGAUGCAACGCGAAGAACCUUACCUGGCCUUGACAUACUAGAAACUUUCCAGAGAUGGAUUGGUGCCUUCGGGAAAUCUAGAUACAGGGGUUGGGUCCCCCCCUCGCAUUGGCUGUCGUCAGACUCGUGUCGUGAGAUUCGUUUGGGGAUUAAGAUCCCCGCAACGAGCGCGAACCCUAUUUUCCUUGGGACCCUUAUGCCAGGUCCCCAGGUUUAAAAUCGGAUGGGGGCGGGAACUUUAAAGGGAUACUGCCCCCAGUGACAAACUGGAAGAAGGCGGGGGAACAAAC
Molecule: ribosomal RNA, 1192 nt
Filed under: Acinetobacter sp. EPR144
Lineage: Bacteria; Pseudomonadati; Pseudomonadota; Gammaproteobacteria; Moraxellales; Moraxellaceae
Description: bacterial SSU rRNA
Rfam family: Bacterial small subunit ribosomal RNA
Source: RNAcentral